Molecule: small RNA, 558 nt
Filed under: Pongo abelii (Sumatran orangutan)
Lineage: Eukaryota; Metazoa; Chordata; Mammalia; Primates; Hominidae
Description: retained intron
Source: RNAcentral
GGCUGCCAGUGAGAGAUGGGGUGGCAACAGCUGCAAGGUGGACAUUGAGCAGCUAGAUCCCCGCGGCCGGACUCCCCUGCACCUGGCCACCACGCUGGGGCACCUUGAGUGUGCCCGUGUGCUCCUGGCACACGGUGCAGACGUGGGCAGGGAGAAUCGCAGCGGCUGGACAGGUGGGCAGCCCUGCUCACCCCAGCCCCACAGCCGGGGCCUCCCCAGCAUCAUAGACCUAUGGUUGGCUGAAGGGUCCUGCCCUGUGACCUUGCCUCCCCCUCCCCCAGUGCUCCAGGAGGCUGUGAGUACCCGGGACCUGGAGCUGGUGCAGCUGGUGCUUCGGUACCGGGACUACCAACGGGUGGUGAAGCGGCUGGCGGGCAUCCCCGUGCUCCUGGAGAAGCUGCGCAAGGCCCAGGACUUCUACGUGGAGAUGAAAUGGGAGUUCACUAGCUGGGUGCCCCUGGUGUCCAAGAUCUGCCCUAGUGACACCUACAAAGUGUGGAAGAGCGGCCAGAACCUGAGGGUAGACACCACACUCCUGGGCUUUGACCACAUGACCUG